GAUGAACGCUGGCGGCAUGCCUAACACAUGCAAGUCGAACGAGGUGUACUUGUACACCUAGUGGCGGACGGGUGCGUAACACGUGAGUAACCUGCCCUUUACAACGGGAUAACACAGAGAAAUUUGUGCUAAUACGGUAUGAGACCACAGUACGGCAUCGUACAGGGGUUAAAGUUCAGGCGGUAAAGGAGGGGCUCGCGGCCCAUUAGGUAGUUGGUGAGGUAACGGCUCACCAAGCCGACGAUGGGUAGCCGACCUGAGAGGGUGAUCGGCCACACUGGAACUGAGAUACGGUCCAGACUCCUACGGGAGGCAGCAGUGGGGAAUAUUGGGCAAUGGAGGCAACUCUGACCCAGCAAUGCCGCGUGAAUGAUGAAGGUCUUCGGAUUGUAAAGUUCUUUAAUUGGGGACGAAGAAAAUGACGGUACCCAAGGAAUAAGCCACGGCUAACUAUGUG
RNAcentral lists this ribosomal RNA (457 nucleotides) under uncultured bacterium. Its description in RNAcentral is "bacterial SSU rRNA". It matches the Rfam family "Bacterial small subunit ribosomal RNA", at positions 28 to 507 of the family's 1533-position model. The record is from RNAcentral.